GUUUGUGUGCGAGAACGCUGUCACCAGUGGUGGGGGACUGACUGGGUGGACACUGGUGCACGGAGGGGGUGGUGUUUGUUUGGUAGGUGGGGUAACAAUCUGCGCGAACCUGGCCCUUUAAAUUACCUCCACAAUCACUGUAGACGAGACAAGCAAAGUUGCCUCCAGGGCCCUGAGCCAGCUUUAGUCCCCAGCCUCUCCAUCAUCCAGGAACAGUUUAGCUGACUUCCUCCAUUUCACUGCAACAACAACAAAAACACUUCUCACAGUUACAUAUCAGAUUGGAAUUUGGAUCAUCCUAGCAGCCUUUCCACGUAGUCCUUUGCAUGUAAACAGACCUGGUAGCUCUAUUGUGGUACAGAAGUCAGUUACACUCUUUUCACUGAGGGUGGCUUAUUUGGGAAAGCAGGAGUGAGGUUUGACACCUGUGCAGCUGCCCUUCUCAGCAGGAGUCCAGUGGGGACCAGAUCAGAAAUCC
Cyprinus carpio carpio is the source of this 478-nucleotide long non-coding RNA. The record is from Ensembl. NCBI's taxonomy places the organism in Eukaryota, Metazoa, Chordata, Actinopteri, Cypriniformes, Cyprinidae.